This 513-nucleotide ribosomal RNA is filed under the name uncultured bacterium. RNAcentral describes it as "bacterial SSU rRNA". It matches the Rfam family "Bacterial small subunit ribosomal RNA", at positions 15 to 518 of the family's 1533-position model. The record is from RNAcentral.
GAUCAUGGCUCAGGAUGAACGCUAGCUACAGGCUUAACACAUGCAAGUCGAGGGGCAGCGAGAGGAAAGCUUGCUUCCUGUCGGCGACCGGCGCACGGGUGAGUAACGCGUAUCCAACCUUCCCCAUAGUAGAGGAUAGCCCGGCGAAAGUCGGAUUAAUACUCUAUGUUGUGUCAUGAGGACAUCUGAAUAACACUAAAGAUUUAUCGCUAUGGGAUGGGGAUGCGUCUGAUUAGGUAGUCGGCGGGGUAACGGCCCACCGAGCCGACGAUCAGUAGGGGUUCUGAGAGGAAGGUCCCCCACAUUGGUACUGAGACACGGACCAAACUCCUACGGGAGGCAGCAGUGAGGAAUAUUGGUCAAUGGACGAGAGUCUGAACCAGCCAAGUAGCGUGCCAGGAUGACUGCCCUAUGGGUUGUAAACUGCUUUUAUGCGGGAAUAAAGUCAGGUACGUGUACCUGUUUGUAUGUACCGCAUGAAUAAGGACCGGCUAAUUCCGUGCCAGCCGCCGC